Triticum aestivum (bread wheat) is the source of this 1338-nucleotide long non-coding RNA. RefSeq lists it as uncharacterized. NCBI's taxonomy places the organism in Eukaryota, Viridiplantae, Streptophyta, Magnoliopsida, Poales, Poaceae. The transcript is spliced from 3 exons. The record is from RefSeq and is a predicted model, not a curated record.
CCUUCCCUGCCCGCGGCCACCUCCCAGUAUGAGCCGACACCAGCCCCACGCGCCUCCUCGCUGACGGACGGGAUCUGGGCGGGCUCCCCCUCCUCCGGCGCCCUCCACCCCCUUCCCCCCACCCCCGCGCGUGAUGUUGGAGGGCCUCCUUCCUCCUUCCUCCUAGUCGCGCGUGGCCACGCCCCACGUGACCCCCGAAGAAAUUCCAGCCCCGGAUCCGGCGAGGAUCCACCAGGUGGUGCCUCACCUUCACCAUCGAGAUGCUCUGGAUCUAACGGGAGGGGAUCCGCGCGCCCAUGCUCUCACCCUCCCUCUCUCCCGCUUUGAUUCCGGCAUGGAUCGUGACUUCUCUGCCCCCCGAGGUGGACUCGAGGUCGAGCCCUGUCCUGCGACGCCCCGCUGCCGCGGUGAGACCCAUCCGGCCACCGCAACGCUGCCCCACCUCCUUUCUUCGCCCCGGAUCCAAAAAGAGCACAUGGUGCAGCCCCCACCUCCUCUGCCCUGGAUCCAUGGAGCCCGUGGUGUCACGAGAGGCCCCCUCUCCUCUGUUGCGAGCUCGGGCCAACCAUUACUCGGCGGCUCCCUCCUCCAAGGACCCGAUGCCGGCGCCUCCCUCCUCCAAGGACCCGAUGCCCGCGCCAGGAGGAACCGGCGCGCGAGGAGCAGCAGUGUGCCUGUGCUCAACCUCCACAAAAAGGCAAGAUACCAGCGAUCCCAGGAGCACGCGAUGAUGUUCAACAGCGGCGAGGACGCCCAUGCAGUUCAGAAAGGGAUAACUUGUUUUUUUGUUGGAUUUUGGCUAGAGAUUUGAUACCUUGUGCGGUCCAAUUGCAGUACGCAUCGCCGGUGAGGCUGCAGCUCGCGCAGUGGAGUUUAGUGCGGUGUGCGGUUUCCAUGUGCAUUUUUGCAGUGCGUAUUGCUUUUUGUUGUGCCUGUGGGGAUGUAUGCAUGUUCAUGCAUGUCCUGACCUGCUGAGCUGCACGUCCGCCACCUAGGUGUUUGACCACCGAGACACUGGAGCAGCUUCCGUGCAGUGCUUUUGGCGAGCGGUUCGGCCCGCACGUUCCUGUGCAGUGCGGCAUGUGUGUUCGUGCAGUGCGGAAACAUCGGUGUUGUAUAUCGGCGGCAAGAGACAAGUAUACUGCCCUAGGGGUGGAAGGCGUCAUACUUUUUUUAGUUCGUUAUAAGUGAAAAAAUGCGGCUCAGUUUGUCCUGGCACAGAGAUUUUUAUUUUAUUUUAUUAGAGGUCCGUACCUCUGUCAUAUGCAGUUCUUUUUGUUUUGAAGAAAAUAACAUUCAAAGAAAUGCAGCUCCAGAACAAAAAUAACAUUGCAAGAA